This 377-nucleotide ribosomal RNA is filed under the name uncultured bacterium. RNAcentral's name for it is "partial 16S ribosomal RNA". It matches the Rfam family "Bacterial small subunit ribosomal RNA", at positions 355 to 724 of the family's 1533-position model. The record is from RNAcentral.
UGGGGAAUUUUGGACAAUGGGCGAAAGCCUGAUCCAGCAAUGCCGCGUGUGUGAAGAAGGCCUUCGGGUUGUAAAGCACUUUUGUCCGGAAAGAAAUCCUUGGCUCUAAUACAGUCGGGGGAGUGACGUACCGGAAGAAUAAGCACCGGCUAACUACGUGCCAGCAGCCGCGGUAAUACGUAGGGUGCAAGCGUUAAUCGGAAUUACUGGGCGUAAGCGUGCGCAGGCGGUUUGCUAAGACCGAUGUGAAAUCCCCGGGCUCAACCUGGGAACUGCAUUGGUGACUGGCAGGCUAGAGUAUGGCAGAGGGGGGCUAGAAUUCCACGUGUAGCAGUGAAAUGCGUAGAGAUGUGGAGGAAUACCGAUGGCGAAGGCAG